This 540-nucleotide long non-coding RNA is filed under the name Amborella trichopoda. RNAcentral describes it as "long non-coding RNA (ATRI_LNC002794)". Lineage: Eukaryota; Viridiplantae; Streptophyta; Magnoliopsida; Amborellales; Amborellaceae. The record is from RNAcentral.
UUGGAUAAAACAAAAAAAACAUUAUUUUUGAAAGAUGAUGGCUGGGUAUGACAUUUUGUACUGCUCCAAGUAAAUUUUUUUCUUUGCUGUAAUAUGGAUGAAAAUAGUAACUUCCAUGAUUUCGACGACUCUGUCAAAGAGAUGGUCUCUUUGACAUGCACUGGAAUUUAUUAUUGAGAGCAUGUGAUUUUAAGCAUGUUGGCCAAUUGAACACCUUCAUCAUCUCACCCUCAGAUGCAUCUUGUUGAGCCAGAUUUAGACCGGGCCUGUAUAAUCUGAAAUAUUGAUAUAUUCUUGAACCAUGGGGAAUCUAUUCUAAGAUGUGAGUUGAUUUCAUCUGUCAUAUAAUUGGAUCCUAUUAAAGAAAUCUGACUGUUUCUUCCUGAGAGAUAUCAUGAGCUCAAGCUACAUCUGAACCUGCAGAUAUAAAGAUUUUAGGUUACUCUCUGCAGAGACAUGAACAUUUUGUAUGGCAAAAAAAUGGGAAAACAAGGCGCAAUGUUACCCUGGGAUAUCUCCCAACAAAUUGGGAAGAGUUUG